RNAcentral lists this ribosomal RNA (468 nucleotides) under uncultured bacterium. Its description in RNAcentral is "partial 16S ribosomal RNA". It matches the Rfam family "Bacterial small subunit ribosomal RNA", at positions 28 to 507 of the family's 1533-position model. The record is from RNAcentral.
GACGAACGCUGGCGGCGUGCUUAACACAUGCAAGUCGAACGGAAAGCCCCUGCUUUUGUGGGGUGCUCGAGUGGCGAACGGGUGCGUAACACGUGAGUAACCUGCCCUUGACUUUGGGAUAACUUCAGGAAACUGGGGCUAAUACCGGAUAGGCGCUCCUGCUGCAUGGUGGGGGUUGGAAAGUUUCGGCGGGUGGGGAUGGACUGGCGGCUUAUCAGCUUGUUGGUGGGGUAGUGGCUUACCAAGGCUUUGACGGGUAGCCGGCCUGAGAGGGUGACCGGCCACAGUGGGACUGAGAUACGGCCCAGACUCCUACGGGAGGCAGCAGUGGGGAAUAUUGCACAAUGGGCGGAAGCCUGAUGCAGCAACGCCGCGUGCGGGAUGACGGCCUUCGGGUUGUAAACCGCUUUCGCCUGUGACGAAGCGUGAGUGACGGUAAUGGGUAAAGAAGCACCGGCUAACUACGUG